AGGACGAACGCUGGCGGCGUGCUUAACACAUGCAAGUCGAGCGGAAAGGCCCUUCGGGGUACUCGAGCGGCGAACGGGUGAGUAACACGUGAGUAAUCUGCCCAUCGCUUCAGGAUAGCCAUCGGAAACGGUGAUUAAUGCUGGAUAUGACAUUCCUUCGCAUGUUGGGGUGUGGUAAAGUUUUUUCGGCGGUGGAUGUGCUCGCGGCCUAUCAGUCUUGUUGGUGGGUAAUGGCCUACCGAGGUCUUUGACGGUAGCCGGCUGAGAGGGUGACCGGCCACGACGUGGGACUGGAGACCACCGGCCCAGACCUCCGUAGGGACGCAGCGAGGUGGGAAUGUGCACUAAGUGGGAC
This 355-nucleotide ribosomal RNA is filed under the name uncultured soil bacterium. RNAcentral's name for it is "bacterial SSU rRNA". It matches the Rfam family "Bacterial small subunit ribosomal RNA", at positions 26 to 379 of the family's 1533-position model. The record is from RNAcentral.